This 2286-nucleotide ribosomal RNA is filed under the name Triticum aestivum (bread wheat). RNAcentral describes it as "partial small subunit ribosomal RNA". Lineage: Eukaryota; Viridiplantae; Streptophyta; Magnoliopsida; Poales; Poaceae. The record is from RNAcentral.
AUGCAUGAUCUCGUUCAUGAUUUCGUAGAGUCACUUUCCAAAGAAGUCUGCUUCAGAUUAGAAGAUGACAAGGUGGCAACAAUACCAUGCACUGUUCGACAUCUAUCUGUUUGUGUUAAGAGUUUGAAGCAACAUAAAUACUCGUUCGGCAGCCUACAUCAUUUACGUACCUUUAUCUGCAUUGAUCCACUUACAGAUGAUGCAAGAGAUAUUUUCCAACACGUGCUGCAAAGUUUGAAGAAGCUGCGUGUACUUAGGCUGAGGUUUUACAAUAGCAACAAGCUACCUGAAUCUGUUGGUGAACUGAAGCACCUUCGGUACUUGGAACUCAGAGGUACUUCUAUCUCUGAAUUGCCUGGAUCAUUGUGUGCUCUUUACCACUUGCAAUUACUUAAGUUCAGUGGCAAUGUUAAAUCUUUGCCUGAAAAACUAUUUAGUUUAAGUAAGCUGAGAUACUUUGAAGUUGAAGGGUGCAGUCAAAUCCCUUACAUAGGCAAGUUAACUUCGCUCCAACAUCUCAAACAAUUUUCCGUGCAAAAGCAAAUGGGCUAUGAGGUGCAGCAGCUAAAAGAUAUGAAUGACGUUGGAGGCAGUUUAAGUAUAAAAAAUCUUGAGAAUGUCACUGGGAGGGAUCAAGCCUUAGAAGCAAAGCUACAUGAGAAAAGGCAUCUUGAGAACUUGCACCUUGAAUGGAGUGACAUGACUGCACAUGAUAGUUUACAUUUGGAAACUCUGGAAGGUCUGAUGACACCGCCUCAAAUUAGGGGCCUUACUAUAAAAGGUUAUGGAUAUGCAAAAUACCCAGGCUGGUUACUUGACAAUUCUUAUUUCCACAAUUUGGAGUCACUUGCGCUUGUUGAUUGUAGUGCCUUAGAAAUGCUACCAUCCAAUGCUGGCCUCUUUGGGAAUUGCUCCUCACUUCAUCUCGAGAAUGUCCCAAACCUGAAGACAUUGCCUUCUCUUCCAACCAGGCUUGAAGAGUUGAAGAUUGAGAAAUGCAUGUUGAUUAUGUUUAUUUCUAACGAUGAGCUAGAACAACAUGCCCAAAGGGAGAACACCAUGAUGAUACACAACUUGGAGUCACGGCUUUCUUCCUUGUGGGAGGUGGAUACGGGAUCCAAAAUCAGGAAAGUACUAUUGUCGGAACAUUCAUCUCUCAUUUGGUUGAUGACAUUGAUGGAUGCUGAUAUUUCUCUUCUUCAAACCAUUGAAAGUGUUGUACAAAGAGAGGGUGGUGAAGAAUUGUUUAAAGAGGAUAUCAUCAAGGCAUGGAUAUGUUUCCAUGAGGAGAGGGUAAGACUCAUUUGUAAAAGGAACAUAGGCCUGCGACUGGUACCACCAUCAGGGCUUUCUCGGCUUGAUCUUUCGUCAUGCAUCAUUACAGAUGGGGCAUUAGCUGUUUGCCUUGAUGGUCUCACUUUGCUGAGACAUUUGUCUUUGAAAGAGAUUAUGACUUUAACUACACUGCCGUCACAAGAUGUUCUCCAACAGUUGACAAAGCUUCAUUACUUGUGCAUCAGCUCGUGCUGGUGUCUUAGAUCAUUGGGGGGAUUACGAGCUGCUACCGCCCUUUCAGAAAUUAAAUUACGGAGCUGCCCUUCUUUAGACUUGACACCUGGAACAAGUUCUUUGCCAUUGUCCCUUGAGGUUCUCGGAAUAUUUCACUGGAUGGUUUCCGCCGAUUUCAUCAGUAUUGACUUGCCCCACCUGAAAGAUAUUUCCAUGGCUUUCUGCAGAAGCCCUUCAUCAUUGUCGAUUGGUCAUUUAACCUCCCUCCAAAGAUUGUCACUGCACAAUUUACAUGACUUGUGCUUCCUUGAAGGCUUGUCCUCGCUGCAACUAUCCAGCGCACGGUUUACACAUGUCCCCAACCUCAAUAUGAAGUUUGUCUCACAGUUGCGAGUCAAGGGGUCCCUCUAUGUUAGCAGCCCCGUAAUGCUCAACCACAUGCUCUCAGAUGAAGGUUUUACAGUUCCAGAAUUUCUCGGUCUUGAUGGAUGUAACGAGUCCUUUUCAUUUGAAGAAUCGGCAGAUUUCUCAUCUAUCAAGUGGCUGUCAUUUUUGAAUUGUGAAACCAGUUCAUUGCCAGUUAAUCUCAAGUGCUUUUCAUGCCUGCGGGCACUACAGAUUGUUAAGUGCCCCAAUAUAUCAUUUUUACCUGAUUUGCCAUCUUCCCUUGAACACAUAUUUGUGCGGGAUUCUGAACUCCUGAAGAAGAGCUGCCGAGCACCUGAUGGAGAAAGCUGGCCAAAGAUUGAGCAUAUCCACUUCAAAAAAUUUCCAUAA